RNAcentral lists this ribosomal RNA (882 nucleotides) under Citrobacter koseri. RNAcentral's name for it is "partial 23S ribosomal RNA". It matches the Rfam family "Bacterial large subunit ribosomal RNA", at positions 333 to 1220 of the family's 2925-position model. Lineage: Bacteria; Pseudomonadati; Pseudomonadota; Gammaproteobacteria; Enterobacterales; Enterobacteriaceae. The record is from RNAcentral.
UGGAAGCGUCUGGAAAGUCGCACGGUACAGGGUGAAAGUCCCGUACACGAAAACGCACAGGCUGUGAGCUCGAUGAGUAGGGCGGGACACGUGGUAUCCUGUCUGAAUAUGGGGGGACCAUCCUCCAAGGCUAAAUACUCCUGACUGACCGAUAGUGAACCAGUACCGUGAGGGAAAGGCGAAAAGAACCCCGGCGAGGGGAGUGAAAAAGAACCUGAAACCGUGUACGUACAAGCAGUGGGAGCCUCUUUUAUGGGGUGACUGCGUACCUUUUGUAUAAUGGGUCAGCGACUUAUAUUCUGUAGCAAGGUUAACCGUAUAGGGGAGCCGAAGGGAAACCGAGUCUUAACUGGGCGUUAAGUUGCAGGGUAUAGACCCGAAACCCGGUGAUCUAGCCAUGGGCAGGUUGAAGGUUGGGUAACACUAACUGGAGGACCGAACCGACUAAUGUUGAAAAAUUAGCGGAUGACCUGUGGCUGGGGGUGAAAGGCCAAUCAAACCGGGAGAUAGCUGGUUCUCCCCGAAAGCUAUUUAGGUAGCGCCUCGUGAACUCAUCUCCGGGGGUAGAGCACUGUUUCGGCUAGGGGGCCAUCCCGGCUUACCAACCCGAUGCAAACUGCGAAUACCGGAGAAUGUUAUCACGGGAGACACACGGCGGGUGCUAACGUCCGUCGUGAAGAGGGAAACAACCCAGACCGCCAGCUAAGGUCCCAAAGUCAUGGUUAAGUGGGAAACGAUGUGGGAAGGCCCAGACAGCCAGGAUGUUGGCUUAGAAGCAGCCAUCAUUUAAAGAAAGCGUAAUAGCUCACUGGUCGAGUCGGCCUGCGCGGAAGAUGUAACGGGGCUAAACCAUGCACCGAAGCUGCGGCAGCGACGCUUAUG